Molecule: non-coding RNA, 28 nt
Filed under: unclassified sequences
Source: RNAcentral
CUAUGACACGUUGUCAUGGCGGAAGGAG